AGAGACAGAGGCAUCUGAGAGGGAGAAAAAGCUGACCGAGAUGGAGGCGGAUGGACAGGAAGAAGAACCUGAACCAGCGUGGCUUUAAAUAGCCACCGGUAGUUAUGAUAUCAUAAAGGAGCAUGAACAGCUCACCUAUUCCUCCACGAGGUCCAAGGCCCCAAGCGUCAUCGUCACGGGCCUCAAGUCCGCCACCACAUACAUAUUUCACAUCCGAGUGAGGACGGCGACAGGCUACAGUGGCUGCAGUCAGAAGUUUGAAUUUGAAACAGGAGAAGAAAAUAAGUUUCACUCAAAGAUGUGCUGCUCAAGUAAAAUGCUCAUUUAGGACUGUUCCAGUUGAUCUGAUAUUAGAAAGCCAGGUGGUCCUAUUUCUAACAGCCCUUCCAAAUUGGGUAUGUUUCCUAUACCUACACAUUCCUAUACAUUCGAGUUACUCUUUAGAUGAUAAUAAAUAACUUCUGAAAUGC
Molecule: long non-coding RNA, 470 nt
Filed under: Mus musculus (house mouse)
Lineage: Eukaryota; Metazoa; Chordata; Mammalia; Rodentia; Muridae
Description: RIKEN cDNA 7530428D23 gene (7530428D23Rik)
Source: RNAcentral